This is a long non-coding RNA of Orcinus orca (killer whale), 1107 nucleotides long. RefSeq lists it as uncharacterized. The transcript has 2 exons. NCBI's taxonomy places the organism in Eukaryota, Metazoa, Chordata, Mammalia, Artiodactyla, Delphinidae. The record is from RefSeq and is a predicted model, not a curated record.
GGGACAUUUGUUAUAAUCAGUGAACCAACACUGACGCAUCAUCAUCACCCCAGCGUCCAUAGUUUACGUUAGGACUCACUCAUGGUGUUGUAUAUUCAGUGACAUGAAUUCACCACUACGGUAUCCUACAGAGUAGUUUCACUGACCUAAAAAUCCUUUGUGCUCUGCCUAUUAUCCCUUCUUCCCCCAAUACCUGGCAACCACCGAUCCUUUUACUGUCUCCCUGGUUUUUGCCUUUUCCAAAAUGUCACAUAGUUGGAAUCAGAUCAGACGUAGCCUUUUCAGACUGGCUUCUUCCACUUAGUAACAUGCAUUGAGCGUUAAUCUAUGUCUUUUCACGGCUUGGUAGCACUUUUGUUUUUAUCGCUGAAUUGUAUUCUGUUGUCUGGAUAUAUCACAAUUUAUUUAUCCAUUCACCUCCAGAGGACAUCUUGGUUGCUUCCAAGUUUUGGCAGUUAUGAAUAAAGCUGCUGUAAACAUCUGUGUGCAGUUUUCUUGUGUGGACAUAAGUUUUCAAUUCAUUUGGGUAAAUUCAAGGAGUGCCACUGCUGGAUCAUAUGCUAAUCCAAGUCUAACUUCAGACAACACUGUCCUGCUUCACAGUUAGCACAAGUGUAUUACAGCAAAAUAUUAUGAAUCUCUCCCUCCCAUUCUUUGUAUCAUUGCUGUCAUUCAUUCCAUAUGCCAUUCAUAUAUAUAAACAUGUAUAAGCAUACAGAAUCAAAUACACAGUUGCUAUUAUUAUUUUGAGCAAACUGUUAUCUGUUAGAUCAAUUAAGAAUAAGAAAAAUGGGACUUCCCUGGUGGCACAGUGGUUAAGAAUCCGCCUGCCAAUGCAGGGAACACAGGUUCGAGCCCUGGUCCGGGAAGAUCCCACUUGCUGUGGAGCAACUAAGGCUGUGUGCCACAACUACUGAAGCCUGCGCGCCUAGAGCUUAGGCUCUGCAACAAGAGAAGCCACCACAAUGAGAAGCCCGUGCACCGCAAUGAAGAGUAGCCCCCGCUCGCCACAGCUAGAGAAAGCCUGCACGCAGCAACAAAGACCCAACGCAGCCAAAGAUAAAUAAAUAAAAUAAAUUUAUUUAAAAAAAUAAGAAAAAUUACAAA